UUUUAUUUGAAGAAUUAAAGUUUUGGAAAUAAUUUAGAGGAUGUGAAAUCCGGUGACCAGGUUAUUUUGAAGCUGUUCACUUUGAUGUCAAGUUCGUAUGCUGGUGUUCCUCCGGUGCUGGAAGACACCAUGGAUCAGCCUGGAUAUGAAUCUCCACGAUCUUCUUUUGGAUAUGUCCACUUCGUUGUUUCGUUGAUCAUCGCCAUGUUCUAGCAAACAUGUCAUCGGGUGAAUACGAAAGAGUAGGUUGGAUGUGUGUAAACCCUAAGUUUUUAUGAACCGGUUGGAUAGGAAGCACUCGAAUCCCAAAAGUUCAGUAGAUGUUAAAGGAUUUCUUCGAUGGCAAGGAACCCAACAAAGGAACUAACCCUGAUGAGGUUUUGGCCUAUACAACCGCCGUCCAAGGUGGAGUAUUAAGUGGUGAAGGUGGAGAAGAAACGCAAAGUAAGUGACUCUUUUUAACUCUCUUUAUGACAAUAGUUUAGACCAUCUAUAGUGUUUUCAUGUUAGUCAUGUAUUUGAGUUGCAGAAAACCUAAAUUUAUUGAAAACAAAUAUUUUGCUACUUGAUGUUGCGCCUUUGCACCUCGGUAUUGACACUGUCGGAGGCGUGAUGACAAACAUUAUUCCUCGGAUCCCAACGAAGAAGUCUCAGGUGUUCACUACUUACCAAGAUCAGCAAACUACUGUUACUAUCAACGUCUAUGAAGAGAUAAGCAUGACGAAAGAUAACCCCGAGCUCGGAAAUUUCCAGCUCACCGGCCUUCUUCCUGCACCUAGGUAAACUCUCUAAUUCAAUAUUGGCUACUAAACCAUUUCGGUUCUUGGUUUUUUAAAGACGCAAGGAACAGUUUUUCAUGGGGGUGCCACAGAUGGAGGUGACUUUCGAAGUGGACGCAAAUGGGAUUCUGCAAGUGAACACCGAAGACAAAGUUCCAAAGAUGU
Arabidopsis lyrata subsp. lyrata is the source of this 944-nucleotide long non-coding RNA. RefSeq lists it as uncharacterized. The record is from RefSeq and is a predicted model, not a curated record. NCBI's taxonomy places the organism in Eukaryota, Viridiplantae, Streptophyta, Magnoliopsida, Brassicales, Brassicaceae. The transcript is spliced from 3 exons.